UGCUUUGAGGACAAACAGAAUAAGGACUUCAUGUUC
Heterocephalus glaber (naked mole-rat) is the source of this 36-nucleotide non-coding RNA. The record is from Rfam. Lineage: Eukaryota; Metazoa; Chordata; Mammalia; Rodentia; Bathyergidae.